ACGCUCGACACCUACAGGAGGCAGCAGUCGGGAAUAUUGCGCAAUGGAGGAAACUCUGACGCAGUGACGCCGCGUGCAGGAAGAAGGUUUUCGGAUUGUAAACUGCUUUAGACAGGGAAGAAAAAGGACAGUACCUGUAGAAUAAGCUCCGGCUAACUACGUGCCAGCAGCCGCGGUAAUCUGAGCGGGCUGGCAAGGC
This 199-nucleotide ribosomal RNA is filed under the name uncultured bacterium. RNAcentral describes it as "partial 16S ribosomal RNA". It matches the Rfam family "Bacterial small subunit ribosomal RNA", at positions 328 to 539 of the family's 1533-position model. The record is from RNAcentral.